UUAAGCGACUAAGCGUACACGGUGGAUGCCCUGGCAGUCAGAGGCGAUGAAGGACGUGCUAAUCUGCGAUAAGCGCCGGUAAGGUGAUAUGAACCGUUAUAACCGGCGAUUUCCGAAUGGGGAAACCCAGUGUGACUCGUCACACUAUCAUUAACUGAAUCCAUAGGUUAAUGAGGCGAACCGGGGGAACUGAAACAUCUAAGUACCCCGAGGAAAAGAAAUCAACCGAGAUUCCCCCAGUAGCGGCGAGCGAACGGGGAGGAGCCCAGAGCCUGAAUCAGCAUGUGUGUUAGUGGAAGCGUCUGGAAAGGCGCGCGAUACAGGGUGACAGCCCCGUACACAAAAGCGCAUGUGCUGUGAGCUCGAUGAGUAGGGCGGGACACGUGGUAUCCUGUCUGAAUAUGGGGGACCAUCCUCCAAGGCUAAAUACUCCUGACUGACCGAUAGUGAACCAGUACCGUGAGGGAAAGGCGAAAAGAACCCCGGCGAGGGGAGUGAAAAAGAACCUGAAACCGUGUACGUACAAGCAGUGGGAGCACCCUUUUGGGUGUGACUGCGUACCUUUUGUAUAAUGGGUCAGCGACUUAUAUUCUGUAGCAAGGUUAACCGCAUAGGGGAGCCGGAGGGAAACCGAGUCUUAAUUGGGCGUUAAGUUGCAGGGUAUAGACCCGAAACCCGGUGAUCUAGCCAUGGGCAGGUUGAAGGUUGGGUAACACUAACUGGAGGACCGAACCGACUAAUGUUGAAAAAUUAGCGGAUGACCUGUGGCUGGGGGUGAAAGGCCAAUCAAACCGGGAGAUAGCUGGUUCUCCCCGAAAGCUAUUUAGGUAGCGCCUCGUGAAUUCAUCUCCGGGGGUAGAGCACUGUUUCGGCUAGGGGGCCAUCCCGGCUUACCAACCCGAUGCAAACUGCGAAUACCGGAGAAUGUUAUCACGGGAGACACACGGCGGGUGCUAACGUCCGUCGUGAAGAGGGAAACAACCCAGACCGCCAGCUAAGGUCCCAAAGUCAUGGUUAAGUGGGAAACGAUGUGGGAAGGCCCAGACAGCCAGGAUGUUGGCUUAGAAGCAGCCAUCAUUUAAAGAAAGCGUAAUAGCUCACUGGUCGAGUCGGCCUGCGCGGAAGAUGUAACGGGGCUAAACCAUGCACCGAAGCUGCGGCAGCGACGCUUAUGCGUUGUUGGGUAGGGGAGCGUUCUGUAAGCCUGCGAAGGUGGCCUGUGAGGGUUGCUGGAGUAUCAGAAGUGCGAAUGCUGACAUAAGUAACGAUAAAGCGGGUGAAAAGCCCGCUCGCCGGAAGACCAAGGGUUCCUGUCCAACGUUAAUCGGGGCAGGGUGAGUCGACCCCUAAGGCGAGGCCGAAAGGCGUAGUCGAUGGGAAACGGGUUAAUAUUCCCGUACUUGGUGUUACUGCGAAGGGGGGACGGAGAAGGCUAUGUUGGCCGGGCGACGGUUGUCCCGGUUUAAGCGUGUAGGUGUGUGUUCCAGGUAAAUCCGGUUCACUUUAACACUGAGGCGUGACGACGAGGCACUACGGUGCUGAAGCAACAAAUGCCCUGCUUCCAGGAAAAGCCUCUAAGCAUCAGGUAACAUCAAAUCGUACCCCAAACCGACACAGGUGGUCAGGUAGAGAAUACCAAGGCGCUUGAGAGAACUCGGGUGAAGGAACUAGGCAAAAUGGUGCCGUAACUUCGGGAGAAGGCACGCUGACACGUAGGUGAAGUGAUUUACUCAUGGAGCUGAAGUCAGUCGAAGAUACCAGCUGGCUGCAACUGUUUAUUAAAAACACAGCACUGUGCAAACACGAAAGUGGACGUAUACGGUGUGACGCCUGCCCGGUGCCGGAAGGUUAAUUGAUGGGGUCAGCGCAAGCGAAGCUCCUGAUCGAAGCCCCGGUAAACGGCGGCCGUAACUAUAACGGUCCUAAGGUAGCGAAAUUCCUUGUCGGGUAAGUUCCGACCUGCACGAAUGGCGUAAUGAUGGCCAGGCUGUCUCCACCCGAGACUCAGUGAAAUUGAACUCGCUGUGAAGAUGCAGUGUACCCGCGGCAAGACGGAAAGACCCCGUGAACCUUUACUAUAGCUUGACACUGAACAUUGAGCCUUGAUGUGUAGGAUAGGUGGGAGGCUUUGAAGUGUGGACGCCAGUCUGCAUGGAGCCGACCUUGAAAUACCACCCUUUAAUGUUUGAUGUUCUAACGUGGACCCGUGAUCCGGGUUGCGGACAGUGUCUGGUGGGUAGUUUGACUGGGGCGGUCUCCUCCUAAAGAGUAACGGAGGAGCACGAAGGUUGGCUAAUCCUGGUCGGACAUCAGGAGGUUAGUGCAAUGGCAUAAGCCAGCUUGACUGCGAGCGUGACGGCGCGAGCAGGUGCGAAAGCAGGUCAUAGUGAUCCGGUGGUUCUGAAUGGAAGGGCCAUCGCUCAACGGAUAAAAGGUACUCCGGGGAUAACAGGCUGAUACCGCCCAAGAGUUCAUAUCGACGGCGGUGUUUGGCACCUCGAUGUCGGCUCAUCACAUCCUGGGGCUGAAGUAGGUCCCAAGGGUAUGGCUGUUCGCCAUUUAAAGUGGUACGCGAGCUGGGUUUAGAACGUCGUGAGACAGUUCGGUCCCUAUCUGCCGUGGGCGCUGGAGAACUGAGGGGGGCUGCUCCUAGUACGAGAGGACCGGAGUGGACGCAUCACUGGUGUUCGGGUUGUCAUGCCAAUGGCACUGCCCGGUAGCUAAAUGCGGAAGAGAUAAGUGCUGAAAGCAUCUAAGCACGAAACUUGCCCCGAGAUGAGUUCUCCCUGAGACUUUAGGUCUCCUGAAGGAACGUUGAAGACGACGACGUUGAUAGGCCGGGUGUGUAAGCGCAGCGAUGCGUUGAGCUAACCGGUACUAAUGAACCGUGAGGCUUAACCUU
This 2902-nucleotide ribosomal RNA is filed under the name Salmonella enterica subsp. enterica serovar Braenderup. RNAcentral's name for it is "bacterial LSU rRNA". It matches the Rfam family "Bacterial large subunit ribosomal RNA". The record is from RNAcentral. Lineage: Bacteria; Pseudomonadati; Pseudomonadota; Gammaproteobacteria; Enterobacterales; Enterobacteriaceae.